This is a long non-coding RNA of Entelurus aequoreus (snake pipefish), 566 nucleotides long. RefSeq lists it as uncharacterized. The transcript is spliced from 3 exons. The record is from RefSeq and is a predicted model, not a curated record. Lineage: Eukaryota; Metazoa; Chordata; Actinopteri; Syngnathiformes; Syngnathidae.
UUCCGUCUGACAACAGCAUACUCACGUUACUCCAGGACUGGAGAGUCACUACGAGCUGUGUGUGGAAGCUAGGCUAACUAGCUGAGCAAACUUAGCGCCCUUGGAAGCGGAAGGAGUUUUCACGGUGUCAAAAUUGUGAGGAGAAAAGGAGGAGAGAAUUAAAGUUGCACCAGUCGAAGCUCUCUGCAUCUUGUGUCAUUAAUCCAAGUGGGCCGCUACAGUGAAAACUCCCCGGCUGCAACCAGUGACAACUUCUGGCUGCAACAGACCGGCCAUCCCUGCAGAGAAGCUGACGCCAUCUCAUCCGAGAUCCAGCUACCAACCUGUUACCAGCCAACUGACUCCAUUUGCACCCACAUCCUGCACAGGCAAGAUUAAAAGGACAGCACGCUAAAGGUACAACAUUGGGUGCCAAGGAGCAAAGGAGACUAUUUACACACACGUUACAAGCUUACAGCGUAUCUGAAGUGUCUUAAAUACUAACAUCAUAUUUUGAGGUCAAAAUAAUUUGUGAGCAACACGUAGCAAUUCUGAAAUGGGUGAAUGUUUUAAGACAAUUGGUAUAU